GUCCCAGCCGUAAACGAUGCUCAUUAGGUGUGGGAGGUAUCGACCCCUUCCGCGCCGACGCUAACGCAUUAAAUGAGCCACCUGGGGAGUACGGCCGCAAGGUUGAAACUCAAAGGAAUUGACGGGGGCCCGCACAAGCGGUGGAUCAUGUGGUUUAAUUCGACGCAACGCGAAGAACCUUACCUGGGCUUGAAGUGCUAGUAGUAGCUCCUUGGAAACAGGGAGUGUCCCGUAAAGUCGGAUGCUAGCAGAGGUGCUGCAUGGCUGUCGU
Molecule: ribosomal RNA, 271 nt
Filed under: uncultured bacterium
Lineage: Bacteria
Description: partial 16S ribosomal RNA
Rfam family: Bacterial small subunit ribosomal RNA
Source: RNAcentral